This 798-nucleotide small RNA is filed under the name Pan troglodytes (chimpanzee). Its description in RNAcentral is "processed transcript". The record is from RNAcentral. Lineage: Eukaryota; Metazoa; Chordata; Mammalia; Primates; Hominidae.
CCAGCAGAUGAAGAGGGGAUAUUGGCCCUUUGGCCAGGAGGGUGGAAUGGAAGUUAAGGAGCCUCAGGUCCGUUUAGGCCGUCUCUUCCUGUACAGUUUCAAUGACAACAACUCUAUUCACCCUCUGGUCGAGGUCCAAAGAAAAGAUACUUCUGCGAUCCUGGACAUGAAAUGAUAUACAACCACUUCCUGUUGUGUCACACUUGCCUGCAGUAACAUGCUGUAAGGUUUGUGGCAUAGGAGCAGUGGGCCAUACCAUAUAGUCAAGGUGUCACAUCCCGGUGGCUGGACAUGCCCUCUUGGGCUUGGCAGAUGCCAGUGGAUCCAUACAACUGCUCCGCCUGGUGGAAUCUGAGGAAGUCACCUCAUGUGUCACCAGCAGAAGGGCUGAAGUGACAGGAUGUUCAUUGACCUGUCAGUGGAUCUGAAAGUUCUCUAAGGAGAGCCUGGGCAAGCAUUCUUAGGUUGAUGCUGGGGCCCAGAGUAGCAGUGAGCGUCCUGUGUGAAGAUGGCAUUUCUCACUGAUUAUUGGAAAAGCACAAGAGCCACGUGCUGGAGCCAUUGUCCAGCCUUGCCCUGGAGGAGCAGUGUCUGGCUUUGUCCCUCGAUUGGUCCACUGGGAAAACUGGAAGGGCGGGGGACCAGCCCUUGAAGAUCAUCAGCAGUGACUCCACAGGGCAGCUCCACCUCCUGAUGGUGAAUGAGACGAGGCCCAGGCUGCAGAAAGUGGCCUCAUGGCAGGCACAUCAAUUCGAGGCCUGGAUUGCUGCUUUCAAUUACUGGCAUACAGAAAUUGUG